Molecule: ribosomal RNA, 275 nt
Filed under: uncultured bacterium
Lineage: Bacteria
Description: partial 16S ribosomal RNA
Rfam family: Bacterial small subunit ribosomal RNA
Source: RNAcentral
GCGUGAGUGAUGAAGGCCUUAGGGUUGUAAAGCUCUUUUACCCGGGAUGAUAAUGACAGUACCGGGAGAAUAAGCCCCGGCUAACUCCGUGCCAGCAGCCGCGGUAAUACGGAGGGGGCUAGCGUUGCUCGGAAUCACUGGGCGUAAAGCGCACGUAGGCGGCUUUCUAAGUCAGGGGUGAAAUCCUGGAGCUCAACUCCAGAACUGCCUUUGAUACUGGGAAGCUCGAGUCCGGAAGAGGUGAGUGGAACUCCGAGUGUAGAGGUGAAAUUCGU